This 253-nucleotide ribosomal RNA is filed under the name uncultured bacterium. RNAcentral's name for it is "partial 16S ribosomal RNA". It matches the Rfam family "Bacterial small subunit ribosomal RNA", at positions 524 to 776 of the family's 1533-position model. The record is from RNAcentral.
UACGUAGGCAGCAAGCGUUGUUCGGAAUUAUUGGGCGUAAAGGGCGCGUAGGCGGCUGUACAAGUCAAAGGUGAAAUCCCUCGGCUCAACUGAGGAACUGCCUUUGAAACUGUACGGCUUGAGGCCGGGAGGGGGUAGCGGAAUUCCCAGUGUAGCGGUGAAAUGCGUAGAUACUGGGAGGAACACCAGUGGCGAAGGCGGCUACCUGGACCGGUUCUGACGCUGAGGCGCGAAAGCGUGGGUAGCAAACAGG